This 231-nucleotide unclassified non-coding RNA is filed under the name Hevea brasiliensis (rubber tree). Lineage: Eukaryota; Viridiplantae; Streptophyta; Magnoliopsida; Malpighiales; Euphorbiaceae. The record is from RNAcentral.
AGUGCCAAAGUCAAGUUAGCAGCAUCCAUUCUUUUGUUGCAGUUUUGGUGCUUCCUUUCCCACUUCUACGAUCUAUUCGAAGUCAUAGGAAUAGCAGUGAUUGAGCAAGGAAUUUAUUUUAGUUGGGUAUUCGGCCUAAGUGCUUCGCUUGGAACUAUGUAAUUUGUAAUUUUCCAUUACAUGAAUUAUACCACUUGGUUUUGUUUUUAUCCAGCUAAUGAUACAAUCAAA